Long non-coding RNA from Arabidopsis lyrata subsp. lyrata, 1034 nucleotides. RefSeq lists it as uncharacterized. The transcript has 2 exons. NCBI's taxonomy places the organism in Eukaryota, Viridiplantae, Streptophyta, Magnoliopsida, Brassicales, Brassicaceae. The record is from RefSeq and is a predicted model, not a curated record.
AUCCAUUGUCAGAGAUGGAGGCUCUUUCCAUCAACGCACCAACUCAGGAUUCUACUUUGCCCUCCGGAGUAAAUUUCAGGUCAGAUGUGCUUCUCAUUCUCUGGAGCCGUUGGGUGAGAAGAAGACAAUUUCUUAUUUUUAUACAUCAAACAAAUUUCUUGUAAUUUUCAUUUAUUUUCUAAACAUUAAAAAGAUAAGGGAAAAUUAGAUUGGGUACCACUUUUCAGAGAAAGUUUAGGCUUAGUACCACAUUUGGAAAAAUCUUUUGAAAUGUACCACAUUUCAAUGCCACAUGCUUAAAGCCGGACGAAAUUGCCCUUGAUGGAGAGAGAAGUGUGUCAGAGAAAGGGACAACUUGGGACAGGAGGGAGCAGUCUGCAUUUAAUGCUGCACGUUUACAAAAUUUAUGUCGUCCUUUUUGUCUCUCUCCUGGCACAUUGGUAACCGUUUUCGUCCCUGUCUGGUAAAACGAAGUUGUCCCCGAGUAAAUCCAGAUCUUCGUCUUCGGCUCUCUGGCAGAAUAAAAUAAAGAUCAAGUUGUCCCCGAGUUAAUCCAGAUAUCUGGCUGGUAAAACCACACCAUCUGGCGAUGGAUAAUUAAGAGAUGUUGUCCCCGAGUAAAUCCAGAUCUCUGCAGGCUGGUAAAACCAUAUCAUCUGGGAUUCAUGAUAAUAGAGCAAGCUGAUGAAAUCGGGGACAAGAUCUAGACGCAACAGAGAAUUUUCAAUCGGGGACAAGAGCUAGAGACAAAACGAAAGCGUUUAUUAUGAGACAAGAUCUGAAGAAGAAAGAGAAAGGGAAAGUGAGAGAGAGACGAAAGUGUUUUGUGUUUCUCUGAGGGGGAUAAUGAUGUGGGGUUAAAGUGCACAGAUCUCGAGGGAUGAGAGAUUAAUAGGGAAUAGAAAAAGUGGAUAUUGUGAAGUAGUAAGGGCAAAAUGGUAACUUUGCAUGUAAAUGUGGUAUGAUUUGAAAGAAGGAUAGGAAUGUGGUAGAUUUUGAAAGAAAUUGGAAAAAAGUGGUACAUUUGGCAAAAA